This 200-nucleotide microRNA precursor is filed under the name Oryza meridionalis. RNAcentral's name for it is "MIR812 microRNA precursor family". It matches the Rfam family "MIR812 microRNA precursor family". Lineage: Eukaryota; Viridiplantae; Streptophyta; Magnoliopsida; Poales; Poaceae. The record is from Rfam by way of RNAcentral.
CUUAAGCACAACCAUAAGUUUUUAUGUUUGAUUUUAAUAGUCCAUUUUAUUUAAUUUUUUUUAUGAUUAGCAUUUUUAUUGCUAUUAGAUGAUAAAACAUGAAUAGUAACUUAUACGUUAUUUAUGUUUUUUAAUUUUUUUCUAAAAAGUUUUAAUCGGACGAUUAAAAUUGGACAUAGAAACUCAUUGCUGCGCUUAAA